AGAUUGAACGCUGGCGGCAGGCCUAACACAUGCAAGUCGAGCGGUAGAGAGGUGCUUGCACCUCUUGAGAGCGGCGGACGGGUGAGUAAUGCCUAGGAAUCUGCCUAGUGGUGGGGGAUAACGUUCGGAAACGGACGCUAAUACCGCAUACGUCCUACGGGAGAAAGCGGGGGACCUUCGGGCCUCGCGCCAUUAGAUGAGCCUAGGUCGAUUAGCUAGUUGGUGAGGUAAUGGCUCACCAAGGCGACGAUCCGUAACUGGUCUGAGAGGAUGAUCAGUCACACUGGAACUGAGACACGGUCCAGACUCCUACGGGAGCAGCAGUGGGAAUAUUGGACAUGGGCGAAAGCCUGAUCCAGCCAUGCCGCGUGUGUGAAGAAGGUCUUCGGAUUGUAAAGCAUUUAAGUGGAAGAAGGUU
This 418-nucleotide ribosomal RNA is filed under the name uncultured soil bacterium. RNAcentral describes it as "bacterial SSU rRNA". It matches the Rfam family "Bacterial small subunit ribosomal RNA", at positions 26 to 450 of the family's 1533-position model. The record is from RNAcentral.